RNAcentral lists this ribosomal RNA (253 nucleotides) under uncultured bacterium. Its description in RNAcentral is "partial 16S ribosomal RNA". It matches the Rfam family "Bacterial small subunit ribosomal RNA", at positions 524 to 776 of the family's 1533-position model. The record is from RNAcentral.
UACAGAGGUCCCAAGCGUUGUUCGGAUUCACUGGGCGUAAAGGGUGCGUAGGUGGCGAACUAAGUCGGGUGUGAAAUCUCCGGGCUCAACCCGGAGCAUGCGCUCGAAACUAGUCUGCUAGAGGGUGGGAGGGGAGACUGGAAUUCUCGGUGUAGCAGUGAAAUGCGUAGAUAUCGAGAGGAACGCCAGUGGCGAAGGCGAGUCUCUGGACCACUCCUGACACUGAGGCACGAAAGCCGGGGGAGCUAACAGG